AACGAACGCUGGCGGCAGGCCUAACACAUGCAAGUCGAACGAAGUCUUCGGACUUAGUGGCGCACGGGUGAGUAACACGUGGGAAUAUACCUUACGCUGGGGGAUAACAUCGGGAAACUGAUGCUAAUACCGCAUACGCCCUUCGGGGGAAAGAUUUAUCGGCGAAAGAUUAGCCCGCGUCCGAUUAGCUAGUUGGUGAGGUAAUGGCUCACCAAGGCUCCGAUCGGUAGCUGGUCUGAGAGGAUGACCAGCCACACUGGGACUGAGACACGGCCCAGACUCCUACGGGAGGCAGCAGUGGGGAAUAUUAGACAAUGGGCGCAAGCCUGAUCCAGCCAUGCCGCGUGAGUGAUGAAGGCCUUAGGGUUGUAAAGCUCUUUCACCCACGACGAUGAUGACGGUAGUGGGAGAAGAAGCCCCGGCUAACUUCGUG
RNAcentral lists this ribosomal RNA (433 nucleotides) under uncultured bacterium. Its description in RNAcentral is "partial 16S ribosomal RNA". It matches the Rfam family "Bacterial small subunit ribosomal RNA", at positions 29 to 507 of the family's 1533-position model. The record is from RNAcentral.